CUUGGAGUUCUUGAGAACUUCCGGGUUCUAGAACACUUGGAACUUGCUCUGGCCUUUUGGACGAGCAUCUAGCCUUAGAUGGUGGUGGGUUUACUCCUCCAACCUCCUAAAAUUGCACGGCCAGGGUCAUGUGGCCCCUCCCGUCCCCGGGAGCCACAGAAGGGCUCUAGGUGGUGGUCUGUGCGGAUGUUAGUGAGAGCCCCGAUUAGGGCCUGACUGGUUUCACGAUCUAAUGACCAUGUGUGAGCUUGUGCUUUCCAACUCGCCGCAGGGACAAUGGGUCCCGGACCAAACGCUAUGCGGAGGUGAAGUUUGGGGCGUUCGCUCUGCCGCUGGAUUCGGAAGAACCGAACCUGGGGUCCAGCUCUGGCUUCUGUAUCUGUGUCUCUGAGCCGCGCGGGUCUUCAGGGCCGAGGCCAGGCCGGAGUGGGCUUGGCCAAGGGACGGGAUCUGCGGGUCUUUGGAGGAUCCUGGCUUUGUCCGCGGGGACUGGCGGAUCAGGAGGCGGCAAUCUCCAGUCUCAUUCUCGGGAUUCUGCACUUGGAUUCUAUUUGGGGUGAAAUUUCUAAGCUGGGGUCCACCUCGCGAGCUCUCUGACUUCCUUUUCCCGGAGGACGGUGGUCCCUGGUCAUUCACGCCGAACGCUUGGCCUCAGGGCUGGGGUCUGACCUACCCUGAGCCUGUAGGAACUUUCUCUUCCGUCCCCGCCGUGCCGCAUCUCCCUCGGUUUACGAACUCUGAACUCUUCCGGGCAUCACUAAAAGAAUCGGUUUUAUGGACGUAGUGUGUCGAUGAAGGUAUCCAAAGACAUGAACGCCGCUCGUUCCCGCGGUGGCUCGUUGGUCUAGGGGUAUGAUUCUCGCUUUGGGUGCGAGAGGUCCCGGGUUCAAAUCCCGGACGAGCCCUGAUGCACUUUUAGUUUUUACUCACAGCGUGAAGGCUUUGGACUUCAGCGAAAAGCUAGAUCUAGAUCCAAGGACAGAGUCGAAGGCAUAGCUCUUGUCCCCACAUCUGUUCUGCCGGAUAUGUCUGGUCCGACGCAGCCAUGGGGUCUAGGUGCAGCUGAAGGACAAAUGGCAUGCGCCCUGGACUGGAGCAGAGAACAAGGACAAAUCCCUCCCAGCCAUCUCUGUCUCCGCAGAUGUCUGGGUGUCGUGUACCAGGCCUCCCUGCUCUAGGCGCGUUGUUUUUCUUCGGUUAGGAGCGGAAGGCGGAGGAGCUGACUUCAGGGUAGUUCUUCAGAGACCAGCUAUCCAGUAAAAGGCGCUGGUGCGAG
This 1276-nucleotide transfer RNA is filed under the name Cricetulus griseus (Chinese hamster). RNAcentral describes it as "lncRNA (ENSCGRG00015032058.1)". The stretch from base 834 to 905 matches the Rfam family "tRNA". Lineage: Eukaryota; Metazoa; Chordata; Mammalia; Rodentia; Cricetidae. The record is from RNAcentral.